Molecule: non-coding RNA, 72 nt
Organism: Ictidomys tridecemlineatus (thirteen-lined ground squirrel)
Lineage: Eukaryota; Metazoa; Chordata; Mammalia; Rodentia; Sciuridae
Source: Rfam
AGGGAUAUAGCUCAGUUGGUAAAGUGUCUGCCUCACAAGUACAAGGCCCUGGGUUCAAUCCCUAUCACCCCA